UAUUGUCUACUUUUGAUUUUUUACACUGAUAAUGUUCUAUUCAUUAUUUGAAAGUUUUAUUCUUGCUUAUUUAUUCACUUUUUCUUUGUAUUAUAUGCAAGUUUUGUUUUAACUAAAUGUUCUUUUUGCAGUAAUUUGAUUUAAUUAUCAAGUAAUUUUGGAAUUAGCAAUUGUUUUAGUGUCGGCAUAAUUCGUGCCAGCAGCCGCGGUUAUACGAUUGAUGCGAGUGAAUACUUUUGGUUUAGCAGUUAUUUAUAUUAUUUUGAAGAGUUUAAAUUUGAAUUUAUAAGGUGAAAUUUGAAAUUUUUGAAUAGCUCUUAUUAUGAACCUGUGAAACUUAAAUUAUAAACUAGGAUUAGAUACCCUAUUAUUUUAAGUGUAAAUAUUAUUUACCUGGGUACUAUUAGUUAAGGUCUUAAAACCCAAAGAAUUUGGCGGUACUCCAUUCCAUUCAGAGGAACCUACCCCGUGAUUGAUAGUACACGAUUAACUUUACUUAGUCUAUUUGUUUGUAUAUCUCCGUUAUCAGAAAAUCUUUUUAGAGUUUAUAAUUUUCAAGAUUCACAAUUUUGAAAUAUUUCAGGUCAAGGUGCAGCUUAUGAUUAAGAGGAGGUGGGUUACAAUAAAUUUUUGUUUAUUACGUUUUCUAUAAUGAAAUAUUAUGGAUUAAGGUGGAUUUGAUGGUAAUUUGAUUGAUUUAAGUCUUUUGAUAUUGGCUCUGGGGUGUGUACACAUCGCCCGUCGCUCUCAUUAUUGAUUGGUUUUAUCUAUAUUUAUUAUGGUAUUUGGUCAAGUUAGAUGAGAUAAGUCGUAACAUAGUAGAUGUACUGGAAAGUGUAUCUGGAAAGUUAAAU
RNAcentral lists this non-coding RNA (854 nucleotides) under Thrinchus schrenkii. Its description in RNAcentral is "12S ribosomal RNA". The stretch from base 396 to 843 matches the Rfam family "Microsporidia small subunit ribosomal RNA", at positions 752 to 1303 of the family's 1311-position model. Lineage: Eukaryota; Metazoa; Arthropoda; Insecta; Orthoptera; Pamphagidae. The record is from RNAcentral.